This 639-nucleotide ribosomal RNA is filed under the name uncultured archaeon. Its description in RNAcentral is "bacterial SSU rRNA". It matches the Rfam family "Archaeal small subunit ribosomal RNA", at positions 175 to 817 of the family's 1478-position model. The record is from RNAcentral.
AUGUGUGUUGGUUUAAAGGUAACGCCUUUGGAUGGGUCUGCGGCGGAUUAGGUAGACGCCGGUGUAACGUACCGGCGUGCCUGUAAUCCGUACGGGUUGUGGGAGCAAGAGCCCGGAGAUGGAUUCUGAGACACGAAUCCAGGCCCUACGGGGCGCAGCAGGCGCGAAAACUCUACAAUGCAGGCAACUGCGAUAGGGGGACAUCGAGUGGCACCCACCUUGGGUGUCUGUCCAACCGUCUAAAAAACGGUUGUUAGCAAGGGCCGGGUAAGACCGGUGCCAGCCGCCGCGGUAAUACCGGCGGCUCGAGUGGUGGCCGAUAUUAUUGAGUCUAAAGGGUCCGUAGCCGGCUUUGCAAGUCCUCUGGGAAAUCCAGCGGCUUAACCGUUGGGCUUCCAUGGGAAACUACAUUGCUUGGGACUGGGAGAGGUAGGAGGUACUCGAGGGGUAGGGGUGAAAUCCUGUAAUCCUUCGGGGACCACCGGUGGCGAAGGCGUCCUACCAGAACAGGUCCGACGGUGAGGGACGAAAGCUAGGGGCACGAACCGGAUUAGAUACCCGGGUAGUCCUAGCCGUAAACGAUGCCCGCUAGGUGUCACGGCGGUCGUGAAUCGCCGUGGUGCCGUAGGGAAGCCGCGA